AGAACGAACGCUGGCGGCGUGGAUAAGACAUGCAAGUCGAACGGGAAUUUACUGGUAGCAAUAUUAGUGGAUUCUAGUGGCGAAAGGGUGCGUAACACGUAGCUACCUACCUCGAAGUUGGGGAUAGCUCGGCGAAAGCCGGAUUAAUACCGAAUGUGACUGUAAGGUCAAAGCUGGGGAUCGUAAGACCUGGCGCUUUGAGAUGGGGCUGCGGCCUAUCAGGUUGUUGGCGGGGUAAUGGCCCACCAAGCCUAAGACGGGUAGCUGGUCUGAGAGGACGACCAGCCACACUGGAACUGAGACACGGUCCAGACACCUACGGGUGGCAGCAGUCGAGGAUUUUUUCUCAAUGGGGGAAACCCUGAAGGAGCGACGCCGCGUGGAGGAUGAAGGUCUUCGGGUUGUAAACUCCUGUCAUUUGGGAACAAGGCGUAGGUAUUAACUGUAUCUACGUUGAUAGUACCAGAAGAGGAAGAGACGGCUAACUCUGUGCCAGCAGCCGC
RNAcentral lists this ribosomal RNA (503 nucleotides) under uncultured bacterium. RNAcentral describes it as "SSU rRNA". It matches the Rfam family "Bacterial small subunit ribosomal RNA", at positions 26 to 518 of the family's 1533-position model. The record is from RNAcentral.